GCCUAAACCCCAGCCCUACAACUCCCCCAACUUUACCUACAAUAAUAAAACAUUUCCCUCAUUAAGUAACGGCGAUUAAAACAUGAAUAGGAGCCAUAAAGAUAGUACCGCAAGAGAAACAUGAAAUAAAAUGAAAAAUUAAAAGCACACAACAGCAAAGUUUUAACCUUGUACCUUUUGCAUCAUGGUCUAGCUAGUCCAAUCAAGCAAAACGCACUUAUAGUUUGACCCCCCGAAACUAAGCGAGCUACUCCAAAGCAACUUGACAGAGCCAACCCGUCCCUGUAGCAAAAGGGUGGGAAGACUUUAGAGUAGAGGUGACACACCUACCGAGCUUAGAGAUAGCUGGUUAUUCGAGAAAAGGAUUUUAGUCCACCUUUAAGUUUCCCAAGUCCUAUAAAACCCCCAAUAAACUUAAAAGUCACUCAAAUAAGGGACAGCCUAUUUGAAAGAGGACACAGCCUACAACUUAGGGUAAUGACCCCCCCCCGUGACUAAGUCAGCCUAAAAGCAGCUAACUUUAAGAAAGCGUCCAAGCCUCAUCACAAACCCUCAUCAAUUCCAUAAUUAACUCAUAACCCCCAACCACUACCGAAUAAUCCCAUAUUCUAUGGGAGCUAUUAUGCUAGAACUAGUAACAAGAAGAAGAACUUCUCCAAAAUGUAAACGUAAGCCAAAAUGAACACCCACUGGCAUUUACCGUUAUAAUCUACAGUAUUAACAUCACAAGAAAAACAUACUUUCACCCACGUUAACCUUACACUAGAACAUUUCUGGAAAGAUUAAAUGACGGGGAAGGAACUCGGCAAAUAUUAGCCCCGCCUGUUUACCAAAAACAUCGCCUCUUGAAAAAAUAUAAGAGGUCUAGCCUGCCCAGUGACCCAUGUUAAACGGCCGCGGUACCCUAACCGUGCGAAGGUAGCACAAUCACUUGUUCUCUAAAUCAGGACCGGUAUGAAUGGCCUCACGAGAGCUAUACUGUCUCCCCCCUCCAAUCAAUGAAACUGAUCUCCUCGUGAAGAAGCGAGGAUAAUUAUAUAAGACGAGAAGACCCCAUGGAGCUUAAAACUUGUAUCACUACCUUACCCACACCAAUUAACUUAGCAAGCAUGACUACAAGUCUUUCGGUUGGGGCGACCACGGAGAAAAAUUAAACCUCCAUGAUGAAAAGAAUAUUCCUAAUCAAAGAGCAACCACUCGAAGAAUCAACAAACUGACAUAUUGACCCAAACAUUUUGAUCAACGAACCAAGUUACCCUGGGGAUAACAGCGCAAUCCAUUUCAAGAGACCCCAUCAACAAAUGGGCUUACGACCUCGAUGUUGGAUCAGGGUACCCAAGUGGUGCAGCCGCUACUAAAGGUUCGUUUGUUCAACGAUUAAAACCCU
Molecule: ribosomal RNA, 1387 nt
Filed under: Platypelis sp. PT405
Lineage: Eukaryota; Metazoa; Chordata; Amphibia; Anura; Microhylidae
Description: partial 16S ribosomal RNA
Rfam family: Bacterial large subunit ribosomal RNA
Source: RNAcentral